Molecule: small nuclear RNA, 23 nt
Filed under: Arabidopsis thaliana (thale cress)
Lineage: Eukaryota; Viridiplantae; Streptophyta; Magnoliopsida; Brassicales; Brassicaceae
Description: snRNA_19253
Source: RNAcentral
AUCCUUGUUAAAAGACACAAAGC